CACAGAAGCUGUGUUUCAGAGGCGGCCACAGUUGUACCUUGCCACCUUGCUGAACCUGGUAGUGUAAUAAAGAGUCACCCAGGUAGUGCUGGUUUUGAAGGCAUAAAGGGGUCAUGAAAAGCAGCUGACAUUUGUCCUUGGGAGAGGCCAUUGGUGAAGGUGCAGCCUCAGUGGCAGUUGGUGGCCCAGGAUUGAAGGAGUCAUGCAGAGAAGUUAGACUUAGCACCAUGAAGAGUCUAUGAGAAGCUAUUACUGAAGGUGCAGCCCAGUUGCAGAAGACCCCACCCAUCAUUAUGGAGAUAUCAGUACCAUGGGAUGACCACCAAGAACAGCAGCCAUUGUGGAAUGGAGUGAACCGAGCCCAGAAGACAAGCUAUGUACUACAGAGGGCAGAGCCAAAGAAGUGAACAUUAAGUCAUUCACAUGGAUGGAGUUUGGGUUUGCUUUAUUCAGAUUGUGACUGUGCCCUGGUUCUUCUUCUCUUGGAGUGAGAAAGGGCAAGGAUUUGGGGAGCUUCCAAGAUCACCAAAGCAUAGAACAUAACAGAAUAUAUAAUCAACUUGGCCAUGAGAAAGUGUCUUACUAACAGCACAUAAGGAAGUUUCCUUGGAACAUCAUAAAAUGGUCGACUGCAG
Rattus norvegicus (Norway rat) is the source of this 635-nucleotide long non-coding RNA. NCBI's taxonomy places the organism in Eukaryota, Metazoa, Chordata, Mammalia, Rodentia, Muridae. The record is from Ensembl.